Molecule: small RNA, 42 nt
Filed under: Arabidopsis thaliana (thale cress)
Lineage: Eukaryota; Viridiplantae; Streptophyta; Magnoliopsida; Brassicales; Brassicaceae
Description: ATSL247070
Source: RNAcentral
UGUGAAAGGUAAUUAGGAGGUGACAGAAGAGAGUGAGCACAC